This 89-nucleotide transfer RNA is filed under the name Desulfobacterales bacterium. RNAcentral describes it as "tRNA-OTHER". It matches the Rfam family "tRNA". Rfam says of the family: Transfer RNA (tRNA) molecules are approximately 80 nucleotides in length. Their secondary structure includes four short double-helical elements and three loops (D, anti-codon, and T loops). RNAcentral also lists the same sequence under 1 other name. The record is from RNAcentral. Lineage: Bacteria; Pseudomonadati; Thermodesulfobacteriota; Desulfobacteria; Desulfobacterales.
GCCCCGGUGGCUCAGCGGUUAGAGCAACGGCCUCGUAUGUAUUAAGGGAGAGCCGUGGGUCGCGGGUUCAAAUCCCGCCCGGGGCUCCA